AACCCAUAAUGAGGGCAUCACCUGAGGAGAUCCUUGAACCUGUCAUGCACUUUAAAUAGUGUUUUGGACUCUCCUUGCUUAAAUCCUGAGAUUUCCUAUCUGAUCUU
Molecule: small nucleolar RNA, 107 nt
Organism: Dioscorea cayenensis subsp. rotundata (Guinea yam)
Lineage: Eukaryota; Viridiplantae; Streptophyta; Magnoliopsida; Dioscoreales; Dioscoreaceae
Source: RefSeq, a predicted model, not a curated record